AGAGGUCCCAAUAGAAACACUCUUUCAUUAAUUAUUAUUAUUGAAUUCUAACAUACUAUAACUUUCAUUUUGUUCGGUAAAGGAUAAAUUUCAUCGUGAUGGGGAUAGAUCAUUGCAAUUGUUGGUCUUCAACGAGGAAUUCCUAGUAAGCGCGAGUCAUCAGCUCGCGUUGACUACGUCCCUGCCCUUUGUACAUACCGCCCGUCGCUCCUACCGAUUGAAUGGUCCGGUAAAGUUUUCGGAUCGCGGCGAUGUGGGCGGUUCGC
RNAcentral lists this long non-coding RNA (266 nucleotides) under Rosa chinensis. RNAcentral describes it as "sRNA RchiOBHm_Chr7g0228611". It matches the Rfam family "Eukaryotic small subunit ribosomal RNA", at positions 1512 to 1736 of the family's 1831-position model. Lineage: Eukaryota; Viridiplantae; Streptophyta; Magnoliopsida; Rosales; Rosaceae. The record is from RNAcentral.